AACGAACGCUGGCGGCAGGCUUAACACAUGCAAGUCGAACGCCCCGCAAGGGGAGUGGCAGACGGGUGAGUAACGCGUGGGAAUCUACCGUGCCCUGCGGAAUAGCUCCGGGAAACUGGAAUUAAUACCGCAUACGCCCUACGGGGGAAAGAUUUAUCGGGGUAUGAUGAGCCCGCGUUGGAUUAGCUAGUUGGUGGGGUAAAGGCCUACCAAGGCGACGAUCCAUAGCUGGUCUGAGAGGAUGACCAGCCACACUGGAACUGAGACACGGUCCAG
This 276-nucleotide ribosomal RNA is filed under the name uncultured bacterium. Its description in RNAcentral is "partial 16S ribosomal RNA". It matches the Rfam family "Bacterial small subunit ribosomal RNA", at positions 29 to 334 of the family's 1533-position model. The record is from RNAcentral.